RNAcentral lists this unclassified non-coding RNA (89 nucleotides) under Pseudomonas libanensis. Lineage: Bacteria; Pseudomonadati; Pseudomonadota; Gammaproteobacteria; Pseudomonadales; Pseudomonadaceae. The record is from RNAcentral.
UGUGGGAGCUGGCUUGCCUGCGAUAGCGGUGGUUCAGUUGAAGAUUCAGUGACUGACAGGCCGUCAUCGCAGGCAAGCCAGCUCCCAUA